UUUGGAUUAAUACUCUAUGGUAUCUAAAAAAGGCAUCUUUUCUAGAUUAAAGGUUACGGUAUGAGAUGAGUAUGCGUUCUAUUAGUUUGUAGGUGUGGUAACGGCAUACCUAGACUACGAUAGAUAGGGGCCCUGAGAGGGGGACCCCCCACACUGGUACUGAGACACGGACCAGACUCCUACGGGAGGCAGCAGUAAGGAAUAUUGGUCAAUGGACGCAAGUCUGAACCAGCCAUGCCGCGUGCAGGAUGACGGCCCUAUGGGUUGUAAACUGCUUUUAUACAGGAAGAAAAACUUUCUCGUGAGAGAGCUUGACGGUACUGUAAGAAUAAGGAUCG
Molecule: ribosomal RNA, 338 nt
Filed under: uncultured Bacteroidota bacterium
Lineage: Bacteria; Pseudomonadati; Bacteroidota
Description: bacterial SSU rRNA
Rfam family: Bacterial small subunit ribosomal RNA
Source: RNAcentral